UCUCCGUUGGUGAACCAGCGGAGGGAUCAUUACAGAGUUUUCACCACUCCCAACCCUUGCGAACCGUACCCAUUCUGUUCUCGUUGCUUCCGGCGGGGGGGACGGGGGGGCCCGAAACGGCCUCCCCGCCCCGCCCGCCGGGGGCGGCGGGCCCUACGAACCUUUAUAUCUCAACCACCAGGAACCUUCUGAGAAAACAAACAAAAUAAUCAAAACUUUCAACAACGGAUCUCUUGGCUCUG
This 242-nucleotide unclassified non-coding RNA is filed under the name plant metagenome. Its description in RNAcentral is "partial contains small subunit ribosomal RNA, internal transcribed spacer 1, and 5.8S ribosomal RNA". The record is from RNAcentral.